This 494-nucleotide ribosomal RNA is filed under the name uncultured bacterium. RNAcentral describes it as "partial 16S ribosomal RNA". It matches the Rfam family "Bacterial small subunit ribosomal RNA", at positions 38 to 507 of the family's 1533-position model. The record is from RNAcentral.
GAAGAAAGAGGGAGGCGUGCUUAACACAUGCAAGUCGAACGGAAAGGCCUGCUUUCCCUUGUGGAUUGCGGGUACUCGAGUGGCGAACGGGUGAGUAACACGUGAGUGAUCUGCCCCCAACUUGGGUAUAAGCCUGGGAAACUGGGUCUAAUUCCCGAUAGGACUGCAGGGUGGUGCCUGUGGUGGAAAACGAUUUUCUAGUGGUUGGGGAUGAGCUCGCGGCCUAUCAGCUUGUUGGUGGGGUAAUGGCCUACCAAGGCGGCGACGGGUAGCCGGCCUGAGAGGGUGGACGGCCACAUUGGGACUGAGAUACGGCCCAGACUCCUACGGGAGGCAGCAGUGGGGAAUAUUGCACAAUGGGCGGAAGCCUGAUGCAGCGACGCCGCGUGGGGGAUGACGGCCUUCGGGUUGUAAACUCCUUUCGACCGCGAGGAAGCCACCUGGUUGGAAGGGUGGUGACGGUAGUGGUAGAAGAAGCACCGGCUAACUACGUG